CGCGCGGGCGGGGCUGGAGGCGGAGAAGCGGAAGCCAUGGCAACCAGCGCUCUGUCAGCCAGACUUGGUUUCUGCUGCCUGUUACCAAGAGUUCUGCCCCGCUGACUCCAUUACCCUGCUGCCCGUGUGACUCGGCCUCCUCUCUCCCCUGGACCGAAUCCAGUUACCUGCGCCAUCUCUGCCGUCUCCCGGGGCCUGCAUCAGCCGGAAGCUGGAGGCAGGAGUCGGAGCUGAAUAUUGAACUUGGUACCCGGAGGGACCGAUUCGAGGAGGUGUGCUCUCUGCCAAGAGCCUUCAAGAUACCGGAGGAAGGUGAUGAAAGACUGCGGAGGGAGACUUUGGAGGAGGCCGUGAAGAGUGUGUGUAACAGAAGAGCCUUGUUUCCGUGGGGCUGGGGAAGGCGCGACACAAGGAACAGUGCAAAGCACAGGUGAACGCAGGCACUGCUACAAGCCAGGGCAAAGAAAAGGCAGUCGGGCUGGAGCUGCAAGCGAUGCUGUUGACUGUGUCAGGGGGAAAUCCCCGGUGGAGGACACGAAACGUGGUCUGGGGUUGGAGAAAUGGAAAGUGGCUGGUGGGCGCCUGGGGGUCACUGGCUGGUGGAAAGAAAUGGCACAAACCAAGUUGGGCGCCCACAGCAGGAGUGACUGGGCAGACCCAACUUGGCGGGGGGAGA
Long non-coding RNA from Lepus europaeus (European hare), 676 nucleotides. RefSeq lists it as uncharacterized. The transcript has 4 exons. The record is from RefSeq and is a predicted model, not a curated record. Lineage: Eukaryota; Metazoa; Chordata; Mammalia; Lagomorpha; Leporidae.